RNAcentral lists this unclassified non-coding RNA (348 nucleotides) under soil metagenome. RNAcentral's name for it is "partial contains 5.8S ribosomal RNA, internal transcribed spacer 2, and large subunit ribosomal RNA". The stretch from base 1 to 120 matches the Rfam family "5.8S ribosomal RNA", at positions 35 to 154 of the family's 154-position model. The record is from RNAcentral.
GAUGAAGAACGUAGCGAAAUGCGAUAAGUAGUGUGAAUUGCAGACUUUAGUGAAUCAUCGAAUCUUUGAACGCACAUUGCGCCCGCUGGUAUUCCGGCGGGCAUGCCUGUUCGAGCGUCAUUUCAACCCUCAAGCCCCCGGGUUUGGUGUUGGGGAUCGGCUCUGCCCUUCUGGGCGGUGCCGCCCCCGAAAUACAUUGGCGGUCUCGCUGCAGCCUCCAUUGCGUAGUAGCUAACACCUCGCAACUGGAACGCGGCGCGGCCAUGCCGUAAAACCCCAACUUCUGAAUGUUGACCUCGGAUCAGGUAGGAAUACCCGCUGAACUUAAGCAUAUCAAUAAGCGGAGGA